Molecule: ribosomal RNA, 433 nt
Filed under: uncultured bacterium
Lineage: Bacteria
Description: partial 16S ribosomal RNA
Rfam family: Bacterial small subunit ribosomal RNA
Source: RNAcentral
AACGAACGCUGGCGGCAUGCCUAACACAUGCAAGUCGAACGAGACCUUCGGGUCUAGUGGCGCACGGGUGCGUAACGCGUGGGAACCUGCCCUUAGGUUCGGAAUAACUCCCCGAAAGGGGUGCUAAUACCGGAUAAUGUCUUCGGACCAAAGAUUUAUCGCCUUUGGAUGGGCCCGCGUUGGAUUAGCUAGUUGGUAGGGUAAAAGCCUACCAAGGCGACGAUCCAUAGCUGGUCUGAGAGGAUGAUCAGCCACACUGGGACUGAGACACGGCCCAGACUCCUACGGGAGGCAGCAGUGGGGAAUAUUGCACAAUGGGCGAAAGCCUGAUCCAGCAAUGCCGCGUGAGUGAUGAAGGCCUUAGGGUUGUAAAGCUCUUUUAACCGCGAUGAUAAUGACAGUACCGGGAGAAUAAGCUCCGGCUAACUCCGUG